AUCUUUUUGUAGUUUAUAAACCUGAUAAUUGGGUGCUCACACUCUGGUGUGAGAGGUGUCCCCCUCACAUCCUGUUAUGACAUCAGCACUGCUGAUGUGAAA
Molecule: small nucleolar RNA, 102 nt
Organism: Phyllostomus discolor (pale spear-nosed bat)
Lineage: Eukaryota; Metazoa; Chordata; Mammalia; Chiroptera; Phyllostomidae
Product: small nucleolar RNA U13
Exons: 1
Source: RefSeq, a predicted model, not a curated record